UGGCUGUGGUGGAAGCUGGCAGCUGCAGCUCCAAUUCGACCCCUAGCCUGGGAUCCUCCAUAUGCCGUGGGUGUGGCCCUAAAAAGAAAAAAAACCCCACAGAUUUCCUCUGUUCUUUGUCUACAGUACACCCCACUCACCUGAACAGGAGGUGCAAAGAUCCCUCCACCCCAAAGGAAGGGGGCUCAAGCGAUCCAAUCCUCUCCAGAGCUCUUGGCCAGGACGCCUCCCUGGCUCCAUCGACAAGGCUGGGUUAUCUUCUUGAGCGAAGGCCGAGCCGCUACAGGUGACCAGUUCAAAAAACUGUUCCUCUGGAGAAACUGUUCCGCAUCUUUUAGACACGCCUCAACCCCACACGAGUGGCCGCCAAGAGGGAGACAGACGUGAGAGUGGGAGCCGUCGCCCUG
This 407-nucleotide long non-coding RNA is filed under the name Sus scrofa (pig). RNAcentral's name for it is "lncRNA (ENSSSCG00005002504.1)". The record is from RNAcentral. Lineage: Eukaryota; Metazoa; Chordata; Mammalia; Artiodactyla; Suidae.